AUGACCGCUUUUGGAGUGAGGCAGGUCGCGGCCAUCCACCGCUGCUGUGACUCACCCAGACAGCCCGGGGACUGGAAGGUGACUGGGGACCAGGAGCUGCCGGCGGCUUAUCCCUGCGAUAGAGGGUCCGGGUGGCCGGCAAUCGGACUCGAAAUCAAACGUCCCCUAGGGGCCACGGCGCCAGACCCGCCGGGGACCCUCAGCCCGGAGCGAUCCCAGCAGGUGGUUGGGGGCCCUUCCCAUCUAACGAUGUCCCGUGGGCGCCGAGUCCUGUGCCUGACCCCAGAGCUCUCCGGUACUCACCGAUCCCAGCCGGCGAAAGCGCCAUCCGGGGCGCGAAGGCUGUUCAGCGCAGGCGGGGCCGGGGCCGGCAGCGGCGGCGCUGUCCUGGAAGCACAGCUAGAGUCGAGGGACCGCCACGCGAUCUUAUGCGCACCGACAUCUCCGGAGUUCCACAAUGCCGUUUGUCCCCCUGGGCUCUGUUUGGCACCGGCUGUCCGGCCAGAAGGCGCCAGAAGGGAGCUCAAUGCCUGCAAUCUUCACCUGCCCCUUGGAGCUGCUGUCUGGGCAGGCAUGGAGGUGUCUGUUCCCUGCUGAGGUUGACCAGCGAAAGAGGAAACAAAAACGGAAACCAGAAAAGCUUUGGGCUCGGUUAUCUCAGACCGCGUUUCUGUGACCUGGGAGGGCUGUAAGUGUGAAGGGCAGAGUCACGGUCCAUUACCUUCUGUCUUGGUUCUCUUCUUUGUCCAACAUCACAAAUUUUUUAAAAACUAUAAAAAUAAAAAUAAAAAACCGACACGACUUAGCAGUUUGGGUCUAAAUAUUUCCAGAUCCCUUCACUGCACAGUUUCAUUACCCUCCUCGCGGCAUUUUCCAGCUCGGCCCGACUUUGCUAUUGUGAAUUUUUAUUUGUGCUCUAUUGGGCUGAAAAAUCAAUCCUGCAUAUUUAUUCGCAAACUUUAAAGACUCAAAUACAAAUAGGAACUCUGUUUAGUGCCUCCUGCUGCACUCCCAGGAUUCAGGGAAUGAAUUCACA
RNAcentral lists this long non-coding RNA (1036 nucleotides) under Nannospalax galili (Upper Galilee mountains blind mole rat). RNAcentral's name for it is "lncRNA (ENSNGAG00000024516.1)". Lineage: Eukaryota; Metazoa; Chordata; Mammalia; Rodentia; Spalacidae. The record is from RNAcentral.